UUAGGAAUAUUGGACAAUGGGCGCAAGCCUGAUCCAGCCAUGCCGCGUGAGUGAUGAAGGCCUUCGGGUUGUAAAGCUCUUUAGCCGAUGAUUAUAAUGACUGUAGUCGGAAAAUAAGCCCCGGCUAACUUCGUGCCAGCAGCCGCGGUAAUACGAAGGGGGCGAGCGUUAUUCGGAAUCACUGGGCGUAAAGCGUGCGUAGGCUGUCUAGCAAGUUGGAAGUGAAAGCCCAGGGCUCAACCCUGGAAUUGCUUUCAAAACUGCAAGACUAGAGUCCGGGAGAGGAUAGCGGAAUUUCCAGUGUAGUAGUGAAAUACGUAGAUAUUGGAAGGAACACCAGUGGCGCAAGCGGCUAUCUGGACCGGUACUGACGCUGAGGCACGAAAGCGUGGGGAUCAAACAG
RNAcentral lists this ribosomal RNA (403 nucleotides) under uncultured bacterium. Its description in RNAcentral is "bacterial SSU rRNA". It matches the Rfam family "Bacterial small subunit ribosomal RNA", at positions 355 to 775 of the family's 1533-position model. The record is from RNAcentral.